Molecule: non-coding RNA, 992 nt
Organism: Pelobates cultripes (western spadefoot toad)
Lineage: Eukaryota; Metazoa; Chordata; Amphibia; Anura; Pelobatidae
Source: the annotation of a GenBank genome assembly
UUCACAUCCAGCGUCGCAGAAGCGCCUCUAGUGGCUGUCAGGAAGACAACCACUAAAGGUUGGAUUAACCCUGCAAUGUAAACAUAGCAGUUUCUUGGAAACUGCUAUGUUUACAUCUGAAGGGUUAAAACCUGGGGGACCUGGCACCCAGACCACUUAAUUGACCUGAAGCGGUCUGGGUGACUAUAGUGUCCCUUUAACUAAUUAUUUUUUACAGACAGGUCAUCCCAUCAGUAUACCUAUGUGUCAUAGGUUCAGGAAUAAAGGGAUAAGGAUAGCAGAUAAUAGCAAAUAAAUACAGAUUAGAAUAAAAUAAAAGAUAAGUUGUAGCUGGUGACAUAAGUCAAGCUUCCUUCUAAUCAAACAUUGGACAAGGUUCAAAUUCUAAUAUUUUUUUCCAGCAACCAGUUUAGAUUAGCUCAAUUGUUAUCUAGAGGGCACAAGUCCAAUUAGAAUUUAAUUUACAAAUAUUGUUGUGCAGUCAGUUAUUAUAACUGCAUGUUCUCUCUUGACAAUCUAGAAAAAGGGUAUACCCCGCCUAUAAACUGUGCCAGAUGUCACUCAGUAAAACACUAGUUAAGAGGAAAACACAUUUAUAGCUCAUCGUGAACGUGACAAAGUGUAGCGGAAGGAAGAAUGACAGAUGCUUUAGGUCAUUGUCCUGCUGCUCCGUCCUAGCCUCAAAUCACGCACAGAGUGGUACAGGUUUUGCUCAAGAAUAUCCCUGUAUAUAGAACCAUCCAUCUUCCCUCAACUCUGACCAGUUUCCCAGUCCCGGCUGCAGAAAAACUUCUGAUGGUGUUCUUUGGGUGAUGUGAUGUGUUGGGUUUGUGCCAGACAUAGCGUUUUCUUUGAUGGCCAAAAAGUUAUAUUUUAGUCUCAUCAGACCUGAGCACCUUCCCUCAUACAUUUUGGGAGUCUCCCACAUGACUUUUCACAAACUCAAAACGUGCCAUUUUGUUUUUUGCUAAAAGUAAUGGCUUUCUUCUGGC